CUACGGGGUGCUCCAGUGGGGAAUAUUGCACAAUGGGGGGAACCCUGAUGCAGCAACGCCGCGUGGAGGAUGACGCAUUUCGGUGUGUAAACUCCUUUUAUAUGUCAAGAAAAUGACGGUAGCAUAUGAAUAAGCACCGGCUAACUCCGUGCCAGCAGCCGCGGUAAUACGGAGGAUGCAAGCGUUACUCGGAAUCACUGGGCGUAAAGGACGCGUAGGCGGGUUGGAAAGUCAGGUGUGAAAUCCUACAGCUUAACUGUAGAACUGCACUUGAAACUUCUAAUCUAGAGUAUGGGAGGGGGAGAUGGAAUUAGUGGUGUAGGGGUAAAAUCCGUAGAUAUCACUAGGAAUACCUAAAGCGAAGGCGAUCUCCUGGAACAUUACUGACGCUAAGGCGUGAAAGCGUGGGGAGCAAACAGGAUUAGAUACCCCUGUAGUC
Molecule: ribosomal RNA, 439 nt
Filed under: uncultured bacterium
Lineage: Bacteria
Description: partial 16S ribosomal RNA
Rfam family: Bacterial small subunit ribosomal RNA
Source: RNAcentral